AGAUUCACAGUUUCUGAAAGGACCAUGGACUAAUUGGAUCACAAGCAAACUGAAACAUUACAGGAAAUAAUGCUGCAAAGCUGGGCAUAGUGACAUGCACCUGGAGUCCCAGCUACUUGGGAGGCUGAGGCAGGAGGAUUGCUUGAGCCCAGGAGUUCAAAGUUGCAGUGCACUAUCAUGGCACCUGCGAAGAGCCACUGCACUCGCACUCUAGCCAGGGGAGCAUAGUGACACUUCAUCUAUUACAAAAAAUUAUAUAAAAAUUAUAAAAAGAGAGAAUACUGAAUGAAUAUAUAUAUAUAUAGCCUUUGUAAAUUUUUCUUUAGCUUAUCUACCCAGGUGUUUGCAUUAUUUUACCAAAUAAUAGAAUUCACAUAAAUAUGCAGAGUUUUCAAAGAGACUGUAUUGAAGUUAAUGCUUGUGUACAUUAUUAUUUAGUGAAAAGUUAAAAAUGAUGGCAUAAUGUUUUGUUUCAUUUUCCCAUGUUAAUAGUAAGGUAUACCCAGAGUACAUUUCUUAUUAAGAAAAAAAAAGAUUGGGGUCACCUUGAUCAAAAAUUACCUGUAUACUAGUUCAAAUAUAUUAUAUAUGAACUACAGUUUAAGAAAUAUCAUCAAAUAUUAUUAAUAUAUUCUACUAUCUAAAAAUUCUGCUAUAGCAUUAUAUUUUAUGGCUAAAAAAGCUUGAUACUGGUUGUUACAGUAAAUCUUUACUAAUUUAUGAAGCAUCAAAUUCAGAUUUUUAAAAAUUAUGUCAAGCUCAAGCUAUUUAGAAUUCAGCAUAAUUUUAUAUACUACAUAAGAAGAAAACAGCUUAAAA
This 819-nucleotide long non-coding RNA is filed under the name Pan troglodytes (chimpanzee). Its description in RNAcentral is "lincRNA". Lineage: Eukaryota; Metazoa; Chordata; Mammalia; Primates; Hominidae. The record is from RNAcentral.